Molecule: non-coding RNA, 838 nt
Filed under: Drechslerella stenobrocha 248
Lineage: Eukaryota; Fungi; Ascomycota; Orbiliomycetes; Orbiliales; Orbiliaceae
Description: Bacterial small subunit ribosomal RNA
Rfam family: Bacterial small subunit ribosomal RNA
Source: Rfam by way of RNAcentral
GAGUUUGAUGAUGGCUCUGAAUGAACGCUGUUCAAAUGCCUUACACAUGCUAAUCGUACGUAAGUAAUUAACAAAAAAUUAAUUACAAAAGUGGUGUACAGGUGAGUAAAUGAUCUAUUGGUUACCUUAAAGUGAGGGAUAAAAUACCUUAUAAUAAAAGGAGUAAUCUGCUUUAAGAUACUAGUUGUAUCUCGGGUAGGUAGUAGGAGAGGUAAUUGCUCAACUAGCUUAACAUCCCGUAGUCGAGUCUGAAAGGUCGAUCGACCACAUUGGAUAUGAACAAAAUUCAAUACAUAAUAGUACAGCAGUGGGGAAUAUUGGUCAAUAGCCGAAAGGCUGAACCAGCAAUUUGAAGGAAUGGCCUUAGAAAUAAGGGGGGAUAGUAUGUAUGUGUGAAAAUAUGUACAUAUGGGUCCAAGCCUUGGCCAAAAGCCUAGGAUUAAAGUUCUGGAUAGAAUAAUGAUAAUGACAAUUUUCUAUUCAAGUGUCUUGACAAACACAUGUGCCAGCAGUCGCGGUAAGACAUGCAAGACUAGUGUUAUUCAUCUUUAAUGGGUUUAAAGGGUACCUAGACGGAAGUUCAAGCCUGCGAGGGGACUGAAUUUCUAGAGUUUUAUGUGAGAAGGGGAGUACUACUGGUGGAGAGAUGAAAUUUGAUGAUACCUUUAGGACUGGUAAAGGCGAAGGCAACCUUUUAAGUAAAAACUGACGUUGAGGGACGAAGGCUUAGGUAACGAACAGGAUUAGAGACCCUAGUAGUCUUUGCAGAAAACGCUGAAUGCUAUAGGUUAGAAAAAACUUUUUUUUGGUCUAUAAACGAAAGUGUAAGCAUUCCACC